This 468-nucleotide long non-coding RNA is filed under the name Homo sapiens (human). RNAcentral describes it as "long non-coding RNA NONHSAT062963.2". Lineage: Eukaryota; Metazoa; Chordata; Mammalia; Primates; Hominidae. The record is from RNAcentral.
GAUUUGGCCCUUUUGGGGAACACACCGUGAACGCCAGUUGGAUUGCAGUUCAGGAGCUAGAAAAGCUAGGCCUUGGCGACAGCGUGGACCUGCAUGUGUACGAGAUUCCGGUUGAGUACCAAACAGUCCAGAGACUCAUCCCCGCCCUGUGGGAGAAGCACAGUCCACAGAUAUCUCUGCGACUUUACCUACUACACCUCUUUGUACCAGAGUCACGGUCGAUCAGCCUUCGUCCACGUGCCCCCACUGGGGAAGCCGUACAACGCGGACCAGCUGGGCAGGGCACUGAGAGCCAUCAUUGAGGAGAUGUUGGACCUCCUGGAGCAGUCAGAGGGCAAAAUCAACUAUUGCCACAAACACUGAGGGACGCUCAGGUCUCCUAAGACCUCAUCCUGCUGGGGACCCCACGAGGGGACAUCCACCCUCUGGGGUGUGGCCAGGAAAAGACAAGCUCUUCAGCUUGGGGAU